CUCAUCUAGAGGAUAAACUCAACAGAUACUAUUCAAAGGGUACUUAGAGGUACUACAGACAACAACUCCUGAAGAGACGUCUGCUUUUUAGGAUUUUUGGUAUUCUAACUACGAUAUCAAGAAACGGAUCCGCCCCCCUGUGGCUCACCAGCGCGUCCUAACGCCACGACACUCCUGAGCCCCGAAGCCGCGGAGCCUUCACCAGUGAGGCCUCAUGGAAAAACCCAAGUGGACACUGCGAGGAGGCCCAGCUCUGUGGUCCUGGCAGGGGAAUAUGAUGUGAUAAACACACAGUGAACCUUCAAACCAGCGCAGUCAGCCGGUGCCCGGUGGUGAUGGUGAGAGGCCGGCAGUGAGGUUUUCAUGCACUGUGUGUGUGUGAGGG
Long non-coding RNA from Gasterosteus aculeatus aculeatus (three-spined stickleback), 385 nucleotides. Lineage: Eukaryota; Metazoa; Chordata; Actinopteri; Perciformes; Gasterosteidae. The record is from Ensembl.